ACAAGACAGAGAUGUGGAGCGAAACUCAAAAAAGUAAGUCUCAGUUCGGAUUGAAGGCUGAAAUUCGCCUUCAUGAAGCCGGAAUUGCUAGUAAUGGCAGGUCAGCAUACUGCCGUGAAUACGUUCCCGGGCCUUGUACACACCGCCCGUCACACCAUGAGAGUUGGGAAUACCCGAAGCCUGUGAGCUAACGUUAAGAGGCAGCAGUCGAAGGUAGAAUCAAUGAUUGGGGUGAAGUCGUAACAAGGUACC
RNAcentral lists this ribosomal RNA (252 nucleotides) under uncultured bacterium. Its description in RNAcentral is "partial 16S ribosomal RNA". It matches the Rfam family "Bacterial small subunit ribosomal RNA", at positions 1249 to 1500 of the family's 1533-position model. The record is from RNAcentral.